AAGUCGUAACAAGGUUUCCGUAGGUGAACCUGCGGAAGGAUCAUUAUCGAAUAUGAUUCGAAGAGGUAGAGAGACUGUCGCUGGCCAGAUCUUGGCAUGUGCACGUCCCCUCACCUUUUCUAUCUACACACACCUGUGCACCUAUUGUAGAUCCCUUUCGAAAGAGAGGGAACUAUGUUUUCAUCACAUCACACACAAUGUAUGUCUAGAAUGUUAAAACAAAAUAUAUACAACUUUCAGCAACGGAUCUCUUGGCUCUC
RNAcentral lists this unclassified non-coding RNA (260 nucleotides) under Xerocomus sp. RNAcentral describes it as "partial contains small subunit ribosomal RNA, internal transcribed spacer 1, and 5.8S ribosomal RNA". The stretch from base 1 to 46 matches the Rfam family "Eukaryotic small subunit ribosomal RNA", at positions 1786 to 1831 of the family's 1831-position model. Lineage: Eukaryota; Fungi; Basidiomycota; Agaricomycetes; Boletales; Boletaceae. The record is from RNAcentral.